AAUAAAAUUAUAAGCAUGUUUGCUUAUAUAAAAUUAAUAGACGAUGAUAAAUAUGACACGAUCCUAUUGUCAUUGGUACAUAAUCAUGAGCAGUUAAAGCCACCGUAAAAUAAAAGUAAACAACAUUGGAUUAUGUAUGAGAAUAACUCACCUAAGAAAGGCUUACUGAUAUACGUUGAGGAUUAUUGAUAAUAAGACUGGAAAUCAUGACAGUGAUAGCAAGGAAAAUUUAAAACCGAUUACGAAUGCAGAUAAUCAGAAUGAUGAUGAUCCUUCAAAAAUCAUCACUCUUCCGAAAAUAAAACCGACAAUGAAGUUUAAUUCAUCUUUAGCAAAAACUGAAACAGUAAAAAGAAAGAAAUUAAAAAAAAGCAGGAAAAGAAAAGGUGAUACAGAUUUAUCGACAGAAACUAAAUCCAAGAAGAAAAAAUUUCGAAAGACCAUGAUUGACAAAAAAUUGCAGCAGGUAAAAGUAACAGUUAUGUAUUUAAUUAUUAAUUGAAACAUUAUUAAAAUAUUCAAUAAGAUAACUAAAGAU
This 538-nucleotide unclassified non-coding RNA is filed under the name Cotesia glomerata. Its description in RNAcentral is "uncharacterized LOC123263293, transcript variant X1". The record is from RNAcentral. Lineage: Eukaryota; Metazoa; Arthropoda; Insecta; Hymenoptera; Braconidae.